GCAGUGGUGGUUCAGUGGUAGAAUUCUUACCUUCCAUGUGGGAGGCCCGGGUUCCAUUCUGGCCAGUGCA
RNAcentral lists this transfer RNA (70 nucleotides) under Loxodonta africana (African savanna elephant). It matches the Rfam family "tRNA". Rfam says of the family: Transfer RNA (tRNA) molecules are approximately 80 nucleotides in length. Their secondary structure includes four short double-helical elements and three loops (D, anti-codon, and T loops). Further hydrogen bonds mediate the characteristic L-shaped molecular structure. tRNAs have two regions of fundamental functional importance: the anti-codon, which is responsible for specific mRNA codon recognition, and the 3' end, to which the tRNAs corresponding amino acid is attached (by aminoacyl-tRNA synthetases). tRNAs cope with the degeneracy of the genetic code in two manners: having more than one tRNA (with a specific anti-codon) for a particular amino acid; and 'wobble' base-pairing, i.e. permitting non-standard base-pairing at the 3rd anti-codon position. Lineage: Eukaryota; Metazoa; Chordata; Mammalia; Proboscidea; Elephantidae. The record is from Rfam by way of RNAcentral.